Long non-coding RNA from Schistocerca piceifrons (Central American locust), 353 nucleotides. RefSeq lists it as uncharacterized. The record is from RefSeq and is a predicted model, not a curated record. Lineage: Eukaryota; Metazoa; Arthropoda; Insecta; Orthoptera; Acrididae. The transcript is spliced from 3 exons.
GGCUCCAACCUGCUGGUGCUCGCGCCUAACUUUUCCGGUUCGCUGUACGGCAUCUCCAACACAUUCGCCAACGUCGCCGGCAUCCUCGCGCCAUACGCCGUCGGCUACCUCACCAAUGGAAACCAAACGAGGGGUCAGUGGGACAUCAUGUUCCUCAUCUCUGCCGGCGUGGGCCUGGUCACCUUCCUGCUGUACUUGGUGCUAGCCACCGACAAGGAGCAACCCUGGAACAGGCCUGAAGAAGAAGCGUGUCAGAUUCCAGAGACUCCAGAAUCCUAUAAGAAGUUCGACGAGGGCCACGUCAACGAUGCGUUUGAGAAAGAACAUUCGGUGUACAUCUGAAAUGCAGCUGU